RNAcentral lists this ribosomal RNA (616 nucleotides) under Eimeria kaunensis. RNAcentral describes it as "SSU rRNA". It matches the Rfam family "Eukaryotic small subunit ribosomal RNA", at positions 245 to 862 of the family's 1831-position model. Lineage: Eukaryota; Apicomplexa; Conoidasida; Eucoccidiorida; Eimeriidae. The record is from RNAcentral.
GGUGAUUCAUAGUAACCGAACGGAUCGCAGUUGGCUUCGGCCCGCGAUGGAUCUUUCAAGUUUCUGACCUAUCAGCUUUCGACGGUAGGGUAUUGGCCUACCGUGGCAGUGACGGGUAACGGGGAAUUAGGGUUCGAUUCCGGAGAGGGAGCCUGAGAAACGGCUACCACAUCUAAGGAAGGCAGCAGGCGCGCAAAUUACCCAAUGAAAACAGUUUCGAGGUAGUGACGAGAAAUAACAAUACAGGGCAUUUUAUGCUCUGUAAUUGGAAUGAUGGGAAUGUAAAACCCUUCCAGAGUAACAAUUGGAGGGCAAGUCUGGUGCCAGCAGCCGCGGUAAUUCCAGCUCCAAUAGUGUAUAUUAGAGUUGUUGCAGUUAAAAAGCUCGUAGUUGGAUUUCUGUCGUGGUCAUCCGGCUCCGCCCGUAUGGGUGUGCGCCUGGUUUGCCCUCGGCUUUCUUCCGGUAGCCUUCCGCGCUUCACUGCGUGUGUUGGUGUUCCGGAACUUUUACUUUGAGAAAAAUAGAGUGUUUCAAGCAGGCUUGUCGCCCUGAAUACUUCAGCAUGGAAUAAUAAGAUAGGACCUUGGUUCUAUUUUGUUGGUUUCUAGGACCAAGG